AGAUGUUUUGGUUGUUUUCAAGGAUUUGACAAGUUGUAGAAUGGUUAAAGUACUUGAUUUGAAUGAAAGGGGAGGGGGAGGUAACGAAGGAGUAACUGUUGGCAGUAGGACUGUAAUGGAGGCGAGACCUAAGAAUGGGAUGGGAGAUUUGGAGCUUGUGGAGGGCAUUUUUAAGAUGUGAAACGUCGGGGUUUUUGGAAGAAAUGAUAGCCAAGACGGCUAUCCCGGUUCCCCCGACCACCGCUCGGCACCAGUUGUGCUCGGUGCCGCCAACUGCUCGACUUUGGGUGGACAUGUAUGUAGUAAUGAU
This 310-nucleotide long non-coding RNA is filed under the name Gossypium barbadense (sea-island cotton). RNAcentral describes it as "long non-coding RNA (GBAR_LNC015574)". Lineage: Eukaryota; Viridiplantae; Streptophyta; Magnoliopsida; Malvales; Malvaceae. The record is from RNAcentral.